UCCGAGUUGACCCCGGCAGUCUCCUAUGAGUCCCCACCAUCACGUGCUGGCAACAUAGAACGAGGGUUGCGCUCGUUGCGGGACUUAACCCAACAUCUCACGACACGAGCUGACGACAACCAUGCACCACCUGUCUCCAGGCGUUUCCGGUUCAUGUCAAGCCUUGGUAAGGUUCUUCGCGUUGCAUCGAAUUAAUCCGCAUGCUCCGCCGCUUGUGCGGGCCCCCGUCAAUUCCUUUGAGUUUUAGCCUUGCGGCCGUACUCCCCAGGCGGGGCACUUAAUGCGUUAGCUACGGCGCGGAAAACGUGGAAUGUCCCCCACACCUAGUGCCCAACGUUUACGGCAUGGACUAC
RNAcentral lists this unclassified non-coding RNA (353 nucleotides) under uncultured Micrococcaceae bacterium. RNAcentral's name for it is "contains 16S-23S intergenic spacer region". Lineage: Bacteria; Bacillati; Actinomycetota; Actinomycetes; Micrococcales; Micrococcaceae. The record is from RNAcentral.